Non-coding RNA from Canis lupus familiaris (dog), 94 nucleotides. The record is from Rfam. Lineage: Eukaryota; Metazoa; Chordata; Mammalia; Carnivora; Canidae.
AGGAGGAACAGCCCCAGUGGCGGGGCAGCUCUGGAAACCUGGAUUCAGCUCCGGCAGAAACUCCGUCUGCAGGGCCUGGAGGCUCCGGGGCGGG